GGAGCAUAGCCAAGCGGUUAAGGCCCGGGGCUUUGAUCCCCGUACCCCUAGUUCGAACCUCGCUGCUUGCUCCA
This 74-nucleotide transfer RNA is filed under the name Klebsiella phage vB_KpM_FBKp24. RNAcentral's name for it is "tRNA-Gln". The record is from RNAcentral. Lineage: Duplodnaviria; Heunggongvirae; Uroviricota; Caudoviricetes; Chimalliviridae.